AAAAAAGGUAAGCUACUAAGAGCGAAUGGUGGAUGCCUUGACUGGUAAAGGCGAUGAAGGACGUACUAGACUGCGAUAAGCUACGGGGAGCUGUCAAGAAGCUUUGAUCCGUAGAUUUCCGAAUGGGGCAACCCAAUGUAUAGAGAUAUACAUUACCUAUAUAGGAGCGAACGAGGGGAAUUGAAACAUCUUAGUACCCUCAGGAAAAGAAAUCAAUAGAGAUUGCGUCAGUAGCGGCGAGCGAAAGCGCAAGAGGGCAAACCCAGUGCUUGCACUGGGGGUUGUAGGACUGCAAUGUGCAAGAGGUGAGUUUAGCAGAACAUUCUGGAAAGUAUAGCCAUAGAGGGUGAUAGUCCCGUAUGCGAAAAACAAACCUUAGCUAGCAGUAUCCUGAGUAGGGCGGGACACGAGAAAUCCUGUCUGAAGCUGGGUCGACCACGAUCCAACCCUAAAUACUAAUACCAGAUCGAUAGUGCACAAGUACCGUGAGGGAAAGGUGAAAAGAACUGAGGUGAUCAGAGUGAAAUAGAACCUGAAACCAUUUGCUUACAAUCAUUCAGAGCCCUAUGUAGCAAUACAGGGUGAUGGACUGCCUUUUGCAUAAUGAGCCUGCGAGUUGUGGUGUCUGGCAAGGUUAAGCAAACGCGAAGCCGUAGCGAAAGCGAGUCUGAAUAGGGCGCUUAGUCAGAUGCUGCAGACCCGAAACGAAGUGAUCUAUCCAUGAGCAAGUUGAAGCUAGUGUAAGAACUAGUGGAGGACUGAACCCAUAGGCGUUGAAAAGCCCCGGGAUGACUUGUGGAUAGGGGUGAAAGGCCAAUCAAACUUCGUGAUAGCUGGUUCUCUCCGAAAUAUAUUUAGGUAUAGCGUUGUGUCGUAAUAUAAGGGGGUAGAGCACUGAAUGGGCUAGGGCAUACACCAAUGUACCAAACCCUAUCAAACUCCGAAUACCUUAUAUGUAAUCACAGCAGUCAGGCGGCGAGUGAUAAAAUCCGUCGUCAAGAGGGAAACAACCCAGACUACCAGCUAAGGUCCCUAAAUCUUACUUAAGUGGAAAACGAUGUGAAGUUACUUAAACAACCAGGAGGUUGGCUUAGAAGCAGCCAUCCUUUAAAGAAAGCGUAAUAGCUCACUGGUCUAGUGAUUUUGCGCGGAAAAUAUAACGGGGCUAAAGUAAGUACCGAAGCUGUAGACUUGCGCACAACUUAGAUUAUUUAAGUUUAGAAUAUGAGAAACUAAGUUAUAUGUUUAGUUAUAUUUUUACUGAUUUUUAUAGAGUAAAGAUAGAAAUAAAACUUAGUAAAAUCAGUAAAAAUAUUCUUAGACUAAAGUUAAGUAGUUUAAGUUGUGUGCAAGUGGUAGGAGAGCGUUCUAUUUGCGUCGAAGGUAUACCGGUAAGGAGUGCUGGAGCGAAUAGAAGUGAGCAUGCAGGCAUGAGUAGCGAUAAUUAAUGUGAGAAUCAUUAACGCCGUAAACCCAAGGUUUCCUACGCGAUGCUCGUCAUCGUAGGGUUAGUCGGGUCCUAAGUCGAGUCCGAAAGGGGUAGACGAUGGCAAAUUGGUUAAUAUUCCAAUACCAACAUUAGUGUGCGAUGGAAGGACGCUUAGGGCUAAGGGGGCUAGCGGAUGGAAGUGCUAGUCUAAGGUCGUAGGAGGUUAUACAGGCAAAUCCGUAUAACAAUACUCCGAGAACUGAAAGGCUUUUUGAAGUCUUCGGAUGGAUAGAAGAACCCCUGAUGCCGUCGAGCCAAGAAAAGUUUCUAAGUUUAGCUAAUGUUGCCCGUACCGUAAACCGACACAGGUGGGUGGGAUGAGUAUUCUAAGGCGCGUGGAAGAACUCUCUUUAAGGAACUCUGCAAAAUAGCACCGUAUCUUCGGUAUAAGGUGUGGUUCGCUUCGUAUUAGGAUUUACUCCGAAAGCGAAGAAACUUACAACAAAGAGUCCCUCCCGACUGUUUACCAAAAACACAGCACUCUGCUAACUCGUAAGAGGAUGUAUAGGGUGUGACGCCUGCCCGGUGCUCGAAGGUUAAUUGAUGGGGUUAGCAUUAGCGAAGCUCUUGAUCGAAGCCCGAGUAAACGGCGGCCGUAACUAUAACGGUCCUAAGGUAGCGAAAUUCCUUGUCGGUUAAAUACCGACCUGCAUGAAUGGCGUAACGAGAUGGGAGCUGUCUCAAAGAGGGAUCCAGUGAAAUUGUAGUGGAGGUGAAAAUUCCUCCUACCCGCGGCAAGACGGAAAGACCCCGUGGACCUUUACUACAGCUUGACACUGCUAUUUGGAUAAGAAUGUGCAGGAUAGGUGG
RNAcentral lists this ribosomal RNA (2299 nucleotides) under Campylobacter coli. RNAcentral describes it as "partial 23S ribosomal RNA". It matches the Rfam family "Bacterial large subunit ribosomal RNA", at positions 1 to 2150 of the family's 2925-position model. The record is from RNAcentral. Lineage: Bacteria; Pseudomonadati; Campylobacterota; Epsilonproteobacteria; Campylobacterales; Campylobacteraceae.